This is an RNA transcript of Etheostoma spectabile (orangethroat darter), 3111 nucleotides long. It is a transcript of the gene named urotensin 2 receptor, with no coding region annotated. Lineage: Eukaryota; Metazoa; Chordata; Actinopteri; Perciformes; Percidae. The transcript is spliced from 5 exons. The record is from RefSeq and is a predicted model, not a curated record.
UUUCUAUCUCUGGCACUCUCUCUCACUCUCUCUUUGUCAAAGGGGGGGAUUCUCCGUAACAAGCUGUAGCUUAAUGUGAUUCUUUCUUCUCCUGUCAUUGAUGUUCUCUUAUUUUUUUUUUUUUUUUAUCAUUUUCUGCUCUUCUGCUGCCGAUGUCACAGCUGACAGUGUUUGGAUGCUACCAAGGUGCACAAAGCGUAGAAGGAAAGGAAUAUAACUUUUAAGCUGUCAGUGUACCUUUUUCUUUGAAUCUAGACAUUUUGGGCUGGUUUAUUUGCUGUUGAGACACUAGUCAUCAAUGGAGGAUUUUCUGUUGUAGUGGAUGACUCAUUUGGGGUAUUUUCUUCCUUGGAGAUCGCUGGAUAUAGACGUUUCGUUCCUUUUGUUCCACCUGUGUGUUUCACCUCUCAGAUACCCUGUAGAAUCUGUCGGGACUUUUAUGGAGUGUGACAUUUUUGCAGUAAGUGUGAAGUUUGGAGGGGUAAAGUGAGACAAAGCAUGGCUAAUGGAACCACAUCUGAGUGUUGAAACCUUCUGUCCUGGGAGGUAGUCCAGCAUCCAGAUAUGACUACAGUGUCCAUGGAGCCUGUUGGAGUACUCCUGGAAAGGGGUGUCAAUGCCACCAACCCUCCUCUCAACACGCUUGAGGACACAGCUGCAACCUUUACCAUCGGCACCAUCCUCUCCAUCAUGUGCCUCGUUGGAGUUUCGGGGAACAUCUACACCCUGGUGGUCAUGUGCCAGUCCAUGAGGACUGCAGCCUCUAUGUACAUCUACAUCAUAAACUUAGCUUUGGCAGAUCUGCUGUAUCUUCUCACCAUACCCUUCGUAGUCUGCACACACUUCCUAAAGUUGUGGUACUUUGGGGACGCGGGGUGUCGGAUUCUGAUAAGUAUGGACUUCCUGACCAUGCAUGCCAGUAUCUUCACGCUGACUGUCAUGAGCACGGAGCGCUACUUUGCAGUGCUCAAGCCACUCGACACAGUCAAGCGAUCUAAAAGUUACCGAAAGGCCAUCGCUCUACUAGUCUGGGUUGCAUCUCUUAUCCUCACCCUACCGAUGAUCGUAAGCAUUCAGCUGAUGACAGUUGGCAACAAGGCUAUGUGUCAGCCCACCUUGUCACAGCUCUCCUACAAGGUUUACAUCUCCUUCCUGUUUUGCACCAGCAUUGUCGCCCCUGGAAUGAUCAUUGGCUAUCUCUACAUCCAGCUUGCACGCACUUAUUGGGUUUCCCAGACCGAGACCUUCAAACAGACUAAGAAACUUCCCAAUCAAAAGGUCCUGUACCUGAUCUUCACCAUUGUACUCCUCUUCUGGGCCUGCUUUCUGCCCUUCUGGAUCUGGCAGCUGCUGGGUCAGUUCUACCCCUCGCUGUCCCUGUCUACCAAAGCCAAACGCAACAUCAACUACCUGACCACGUGUCUGACGUAUUCCAACAGCUGCAUUAACCCUUUUCUGUACACGCUGCUCACCAAGAACUACAAGGAGUACCUGAGGAAGCACAAGCGGUCCUGGUCAGCUGGCAGCUACUUCAACAGGAAGAGUCGCUUCCAGCGUUCGCCGCGCAGGUCGCCAUCUUCCAGCAGUCAGCAGUGUACUGAGAGCUUUAUGCUCACACACACAGCCUCCCUGCGAGCACAUAACACCAGUUUGUAAGAUAUGACCGAGCUGUGGUGGAAGACGAAGAAAGGACAGACGGAACCUGUUGGAGACGACAGAAACAUGAGCAGAAUCGGAUCUUCUCAUCCCCCCCCCCCCCUACUGUUAAAGAGGAUGAUGAAGAUUGAAAAUACUUUUGUAUUUGCAGAUCAACGUGUGUGUGCACCAGAAGCCACGGAAGGAGACGCUGGUUGCUGCUUUUUGAGACUGUGUAAAGUAGACACAAUCAUGUCUGUCUUUAUUAGUUACUGUCAGAACCUCCUGUGGCAUAAGGAGAAAGAUGAGCAUCUUACAUGGCGAAAUGAGACUUUCAUAUUUAUGCUUUCUCAUAUGUUUACCCUCUGUGCUACUCAAGUUCCUUUUGUGAAAUACAUGUAAACAUGUAUUUGAAACUGUUAUUUCUGUUACAACAGGGUAGUGAGAUUAAGGCACCAUUAAAGAGGCAUCAGUUGCUUCAAAAAUGGGGAAAUAUCAAUAAAAUGAGUCUGAUAUUUUAAAUCCAUCACAGAUAGAAAAUGCAUGAAGGAGCUUCAGCUGCAGCAAAAGACUUCAUAGAUUUCGUAGGACAGCUUGAAUGUUUGUAAUUUAACGGCAAGGCAGUGUUCAGACAUAACAUUUUGUGAGAAAAAAAAAGCCAAAAUUCAUUUUAAUGAUACCACUAUGUGACUAUAGGGAAAAAAAAUGCAAGGUUGUUAAAGAUAAAAGACACAUUCCCAGCUGAUUACUUUGCAAUACGAACACCAUAUUUCUUCUAGUUUUCCUUAUGUUAGAUAAAAAGAAAAGAUUGUCAUUGGGCAUUGUUUUGAAUCUUAUAAUACUUCAAAUGUAUUUUAUCUGUUUCUAAAUUUUCUUUUUUAGAUUUUCUGGAUCACAUUUCAUCAUCUGAUACUUAAAGCAACUAGCAUUGCCAUUUUUUUCUUUUAAACACAGUGCUCUUUUUGGUCAGAACACCCAGUAAGUCUGGCAUUAUGUAUUUUUCUUGUUGUCAACAAAUCCCAUGAAAAGACCGAAACAAAAAAGACCCUAACCUGAAGUUAAUGGAUCCCACUAACUACGUUACCUGUGUAGCCAAAGCGUGACACAUUGUCAGAUGUGCUAUAGACCUCAGUUAUUGUCAAACGAGACUAAGGGGGCUUUCAGAUCAGGGGCCUGGGCCCGAAUCUGGGAACCCUUGAGCCAAAAGUCCAGUUUUUUAAAUAGUGUGAACACUUUGUCCACUUGAAAACACUAUAAGUCUUGAGUACUCACAAUGUGUACUUGAGCACGGUCAGCAUCAGGUAUAAAAACCACACCAAAACACGGAAGCGGACUGCUAUUUAAAGCAACUACAAGGAGUUUGUAACUGGAUAUGAAACUCUUAAUGUAUUACUUAUGUCUCAACAUAACCUACAUAAGUAAAUGAGUAUCAACUCGCUCUUACUCCAAACGUGUAAAAUACAGAGGUUUGGGCAU